This 253-nucleotide ribosomal RNA is filed under the name uncultured bacterium. RNAcentral describes it as "partial 16S ribosomal RNA". It matches the Rfam family "Bacterial small subunit ribosomal RNA", at positions 524 to 776 of the family's 1533-position model. The record is from RNAcentral.
UACGUAGGGGGCAAGCGUUAUCCGGAUUUACUGGGUGUAAAGGGAGCGUAGACGGCGAUGCAAGCCAGAUGUGAAAGCCCGGGGCUCAACCCCGGGACUGCAUUUGGAACUGUAUAGCUAGAGUGUCGGAGAGGCAGGCGGAAUUCCUAGUGUAGCGGUGAGAUGCGUAGAUAUUAGGAGGAACACCAGUGGCGAAGGCGGCCUGCUGGACGAUGACUGACGUUGAGGCUCGAAAGCGUGGGGAGCAAACAGG